This 215-nucleotide small RNA is filed under the name Arabidopsis thaliana (thale cress). Its description in RNAcentral is "ATSL090110". The record is from RNAcentral. Lineage: Eukaryota; Viridiplantae; Streptophyta; Magnoliopsida; Brassicales; Brassicaceae.
AUGGACGAUUUUUCGGUCUAUGGCCCCUCUUUCUCCUCAUGUUUGUUGAAUCUUGGCAGGGUAUUGACCAGGUGCAAAGAGACAAAUCUUGUUCACAAUUGGGAAAAGUGUCAUUUCAUGGUGAAGGAAGGCAUAGUGUUAGUUCACAAGAUAUCAGAGAAGGGUAUAGAGGUUGACAAAGGAAAAAUUGAAGUGAUGUUGUAGUUGCAGGCACC